AUGAACGCUGGCGGCGUGCCUAAUACAUGCAAGUCGAACGAGGUGCUUUUGUAGCAAUACGGAAGUAUCCUAGUGGCGAACGGGUGAGUAACGCGUUGGUGACCUACCCCAAAGUGUGGGAUAACAGUUCGAAAGAACUGCUAAUACCGCAUGUGGUUAUUGGAUUUAGAAACCGAUAACUAAAGGAGCAAUUCGCUUUGGGAGGGACCUGCGUCCCAUCAGCUAGUUGGUGAGGUAAUGGCUCACCAAGGCUACGACGGGUAGGGGACCUGAGAGGGUGACCCCCCACAAUGGAACUGAAACACGGUCCAUACACCUACGGGUGGCAGCAGUAGGGAAUAUUGCACAAUGGGCGAAAGCCUGAUCCAGCAACGCCGCGUGCACGAUGACGGCCUUCGGGUUGUAAAGUGCUUUUAAGGGAGAUGAGAAAGGACAGUAUCCCUUGAAUAAGCCUCGGCGAACUACGU
This 467-nucleotide ribosomal RNA is filed under the name uncultured bacterium. RNAcentral describes it as "bacterial SSU rRNA". It matches the Rfam family "Bacterial small subunit ribosomal RNA", at positions 29 to 506 of the family's 1533-position model. The record is from RNAcentral.